CCUAAAAAGCAGUGGGUGAGAAGGUUAGCAGUUAGGAAGGUGGGGAAAGGGGACCAUGUACAGUUCUGGGAUGAUGUUUGGUGUGGAGAAGUGCCUUUGAGCGUGAUUUUCCCUAAGUUACAUAACAUAAGCAGAAAUCAGGGGGUGUCUGUAAGUGAAAUGUGGUUGGCUGAUAUCCUGGUCAAAUCUCCGUUGCAGGUGGUGUAUAGGACUAUAUCCUUAAUGCAGCGGUGGCGAAUCAUGCUAAAGGGGGACAUGCUUGUUAUGGCAAAUAAGUGGAUGGAGGAAGUCAUGAUCAAGCUACUCUAA
Molecule: long non-coding RNA, 309 nt
Filed under: Oryza sativa Indica Group (long-grained rice)
Lineage: Eukaryota; Viridiplantae; Streptophyta; Magnoliopsida; Poales; Poaceae
Description: lncRNA OsLaMu_07g0010790
Source: RNAcentral